AUUGAACGCUGGCGGCAUGCUUUACACAUGCAAGUCGAACGGCAGCGCGGGCUUCGGCCUGGCGGCGAGUGGCGAACGGGUGAGUAAUGCAUCGGAACGUGCCCAGUAGUGGGGGAUAGCCCGGCGAAAGCCGGAUUAAUACCGCAUACGACCUGAGGGUGAAAGCGGGGGACCGAAAGGCCUCGCGCUAUUCGAGCGGCCGAUGUCGGAUUAGCUAGUUGGUGGGGUAAAGGCUUACCAAGGCGACGAUCCGUAGCUGGUCUGAGAGGACGACCAGCCACACUGGGACUGAGACACGGCCCAGACUCCUACGGGAGGCAGCAGUGGGGAAUUUUGGACAAUGGGGGCAACCCUGAUCCAGCCAUGCCGCGUGCGGGAAGAAGGCCUUCGGGUUGUAAACCGCUUUUGUUCGGGAAGAAAUCCUCUGGGCUAAUACCCCGGGGGGAUGACGGUACCGGAAGAAUAAGCACCGGCUAACUACGUG
RNAcentral lists this ribosomal RNA (484 nucleotides) under uncultured bacterium. RNAcentral describes it as "partial 16S ribosomal RNA". It matches the Rfam family "Bacterial small subunit ribosomal RNA", at positions 28 to 507 of the family's 1533-position model. The record is from RNAcentral.